Molecule: transfer RNA, 75 nt
Filed under: Triticum aestivum (bread wheat)
Lineage: Eukaryota; Viridiplantae; Streptophyta; Magnoliopsida; Poales; Poaceae
Description: tRNA-Und (NNN) (tRNA-Und-NNN-1-1)
Rfam family: tRNA
About the family: Transfer RNA (tRNA) molecules are approximately 80 nucleotides in length. Their secondary structure includes four short double-helical elements and three loops (D, anti-codon, and T loops).
Source: RNAcentral
GCUGGAAUAGCUCAGUUGGCUAGAGCGUGUGGCUUGUUAACCACAAGCUCGGAGGUUCGAGCCCUCCUUCUAGCG